This 78-nucleotide microRNA precursor is filed under the name Marmota monax (woodchuck). The record is from RNAcentral. Lineage: Eukaryota; Metazoa; Chordata; Mammalia; Rodentia; Sciuridae.
GGAGGGAGAGAGGGAGAGAGAGAGGGGAGAUAUCUCUCUCUCUCUCUCUCUCUCUCUCUCUCUCUCUUUCUCUGUAUA